Molecule: RNA transcript, 4380 nt
Organism: Anopheles funestus (African malaria mosquito)
Lineage: Eukaryota; Metazoa; Arthropoda; Insecta; Diptera; Culicidae
Gene: ss
Gene name: aryl hydrocarbon receptor
Exons: 11
Source: RefSeq, a predicted model, not a curated record
AGUCGUUACAUGGAUUCGUACUUUCAGUAUCAUGUUGAUGAACAUUUUGUAUCGUUUGCUCUACCAUUUUCAUUUCAUUGUCGUACGAUAUCUUUUCCAUACAGCUGUAUGACUGUGUGUUUUUGUUUGGGAAUGCUUGAAAAAAAUACUCAUGCGGAUAGUGGGAAAAAAUGUUACACAUUCGUCACCAUUCCUCCUAUUUCAAUAUCUAAUUUAUUAAUUUGUUUGAUAUGAGCAAUUUAACUAUUAAACAGCCGGUGUGUUCAAUUUAAUUACAUAUUUGCCCAGAAAAUAAUAAACAACGCCACGAACGGUUAACAAUUUUGACCAUCAGAAGAUGAAAAUUCAACCACAUUCUGAUGUUUGACCCCCACCACAAAUGGGGCGGUCCAUGCACAUGCCGAUGUUAUUUAUUCCUCUUUCUGCUUUACACACCAUCGUGCGUUAAAUUCUAUGCUUGCUCCUGUUGACUUAUGUACAUGGGCCAACAUUAUGUGUCAACAUUCGACAGUGGUCGGUCGGUUUUGUACGCGCAUCCCAGAAACAGAUCGUUGUGUGAGUGUGUGCGUGUGUUUAUUUUUUAAAGUGAUAACAAUUUCUAAGUGAAAAUGAUUCCUUACGCAAAGCGAUAUCUUCAUUGCUGUGGGUAGUAUGUGCUAUAGCAUCCGAAUAUAAAAAUGUGAAAUUAUGAAAUUAUUAUGAAAGGUUUUACAUGUGUAGUUCCUGCUAGUGAACUAACUAGUUUUGUUUGUGUAAAAUAUGAGAAAAUUGCGUUACAGAUAUAAAAUAAGUCAAAGUGCUAGUUGAAAAUUCGUGGAAUGUGUCCAUAAUUGCUAUUGCAGAAGUCCAUAUUGAUGAUGGUAAAAGGAGUAAAAUAAUGUGAAAAUCAUGUGUUAUUAAGUAGUGAAUCGUAGUUUCGAAACUUUUGAGCGAUAAGCGAAGGUUUUUUUGUUGUUGCUGCCGAAACAUUACACAAUACGAACACCUUGACAUCCUCAGGAAUGAAAAUGAGUCAGCUGGGAACAGUUUAUGCCACCAAAAGGAGGCGCCGCAAUGGCAAAAGCAUCAAGGCAACUCCGAAAGAAGGCAUCACCAAGAGCAACCCUUCCAAACGGCACCGUGAACGACUGAAUGCUGAGCUGGAUCUGCUUGCCUCGUUGCUACCAUUCGAGCAGAACAUAUUGAGCAAACUGGACAGAUUAAGCAUUCUGCGGCUGUCGGUCAGCUACCUGAGGAUUAAAAGCUAUUUCCAAGUUGUGAUGCACAAAGAAAAGGGCGAAAAUGGCCUGGUAACACAUUCCGCUUCCGACGAAAGCUAUCGUGCCCGGGAUUUUACUUCCUACGAUCAUAGUUUCAUUGUCGACAGCGAUAUGUUUUUACAGGCAUUAAACGGUUUUAUUAUGAUUCUUACCUGUGAAGGAGAAGUCUUUUUUGCAACACACACCAUUGAAAGCUAUCUUGGAUUUCAUCAGUCGGAUAUCAUUCACCAAUCCGUAUACGAGCUGGUACAUUCGGAAGAUCGCGAAGAGCUGCAGAAGCAAUUGCUGUGGAAUUCUUUUCUACCGGCCGAUCUCUCCGGUAUUCAACUGUCGGAAGCGUUGGUGCCGGAAAAGGACAAACUAUUGGAGCGUAGCUUUACCGUCCGGUUUCGCUGUCUGCUCGACAAUACAUCCGGUUUUUUGCGCUUAGACAUACGAGGACGGGUUAAGGUAUUGCAUGGUCAGAACAAAAAGAACGAGGAGCCACCAUUAGCGCUGUUUGCAUUCUGCACACCAUUUGGGCCGCCUAGUCUGCUCGAGAUUCCACCCAAGGAGAACAUGUUUAAAUCGAAACACAAGCUAGACUUUUCGCUCGUGUCUAUGGAUCACAAAGGCAAAAACACACUCGGCUAUUCGGAUUCGGAACUAGCAAAUAUGGGUGGAUACGAUCUGGUGCACUACGAUGAUUUGGCAUACGUAGCAAGUGCUCAUCAGGAAUUACUGAAAACGGGAGCCUCUGGUAUGAUUGCAUAUCGCUAUCAGAAAAAGGACGGUGCAUGGCAAUGGCUGCAGACCAGCUCUAGGUUGGUGUAUAAAAAUUCAAAACCCGACUUCGUUAUCUGCACCCACCGGCAGCUAAUGGAGGAGGAAGGUCGUGAUCUGCUAGGCAAGCGGACGAUGGAUUUUAAAGUAAGCUAUCUGGAUGCGGGCAUCUCUUCGACCUACUUCGAAUCGGAUCAGCUGAUCGUUAGCUCAAACAACAGCAGUGCACCAAGCUCACCGACGACCUCCCAACAACGUGCCAACCGGCGUUAUAAAACACAGCUGCGCGAUUUUCUCUCCACCUGUCGCCAUAAGCGUAAAUUGCCCAACCAAUGCACCGCCGAACAGGUUUCUCCCAGUGUCUCGGUCGUGGAUUAUAUCCCUGGUGGACCGCCAGGUACGGCGGCGGCGGCUGCUGCAGUUGCUGCGGCUGCCUAUUCGAACAGCAUCAACAGCGUGUAUUCACCGGCAGCCCAUUUCCCCGGCUCGGCACCGGACAACGUGUACAUGGCUGGUCCGGUUCACUCGUCGAACUUUUACCCGAUGCCCGAUAAUCUUUUCCACCAGUAUCGGCUGCAAGGUGUAAGUGGCUACUAUCCCGAGUAUCAUACCAGCACUAGUGCAUCCACCUUUGUUCCUACUAACGGGCUUAUUCCGUACGACAGUUAUGGAAUCACUAAAGAGGACACCAUGCGGUGGCAUGAGGGGACAAAGAGUUACGGUGUUGGCAGCGAGUCGGGCCAAUCGCACCCGGCCAGUAACGAAUCGUCACAGCAACCGGAUGCGCCCGGUGGUGGAUGUGCCACAGGCGAAGCCACCUCCUAUCUUGUCAGUGGCUUCGCAGCUGCUCCCGGUACCGAUCCGAGAUCCCCUCAUGUCCCCAAGGGCUCGUGCCAGCAGGGCAAAAGUGUUUCCCCACACUCAUCCGAGGAGCUGGUCGAUCCUUGCUGUACCGUCGAUGGUAACGCCACACCGACCAAAGAUUCGAUCGAUCGUCACACUCACCAUGGCAACCAGUCGCAACAGCAUCAUGGAGCGCAAAACGCACAGCAACAACAUCACCAUCAUCCCGGUGCUCACCAUCAACCAGCUCACCACCAUCACCACCACCACACACACCACCACCAUCAGCAACAAACUCAACACCAUCAUGCAGUGCAGCAUCAUUCGGAUAUGCAACAGCAGCUCCAUGCGCAUGCCCAUCACCAUCCGCAUCCAUCGCACCGCCAUCGGAACGGUGAUGGAUCGGAGGAACACAAGUUGGCUAGCGCCAAGUCUUCGGCAUCCUCGUCACCGAUCCGUCACAGCGAACCACAGCGCCAGACCGUUCUUAUGUGGGGUACGUCCUAUAAUAACAGCGACCCAACAGGUGAUCCCCAUGCUAGCAGUAGCAAUGGUUCACCACCAUCCUACGAUUAUAUGGAUUCUGCGGGUAGCUUUAAUCUUGUAAACCUGCCAAAAUCUGGUUCCGUUGGUACCGCCCUUAGUAGUAAUGAAUUGAAUAAUAACGCUAAUAACUCUAUCAACACGAGUUCCACCACGGGCGAACAGACGCAUCAUCUUUCCGACCCAUCUACUAACAAUCCCAACCAAACGCAUCCAGUCACUUGCGAACCGUCUGCGCAACCAUCCAGCGACACGAUCCUGGAACCGAUCGAUAGCAAUUCCCGUGGGGUUGCAAAAACGAUCCCGACUCACAUGGCGCUUGCUAAAUCGAAAACCCUGCAGUCUGCCGAUUCCACCGGUGACACCAAUGCUUACACCGGUAAACAAUCAAAAGUCUAUGCUAAUCAUUCUAACCAACAACCACAACAACAACCAGCGACACAACUGCAGCACGUUACUGAACCACUCUCGGAUGGAACGACGGCUGUCGUUGCGAUGGAUCCGACCAACACUAUUCCUGCUUCCGCCGAUACUAAAUGGUAUUGCACAGAUGAUGCAUAACACUCAUUCGCGCUCUAGAUCCAGUGUACUAACACUAUCGUUUUGCCACUAAUGCAUGCAGCCCGCGCAACUAAUACCUGCCACCCCAUAUGCCUUGGUGUCGUGUUCGUCCUUUUUGCGUCAUUGCGUGGAAUACGUAAUUCCGCUGAUUUCUACUUGAUCAUGGUCGGCACCCAUGUGUAAUCCUGUGUGUACUAAUGGCACCACCGUUCCAAAACAUUAAAUAGUGCUCUCGAGCGCACCACUAGUGGAAAGGGGGCUAGAGAAGAGGGUGUGCGAGACUAAUAACUUUAUGAGGUGAUGCCCGACACAAGCGAUACACUGACCGAACCGAUUCCUUCGAUGUUACCAAGCGCGAACGAACAAAAUUACAUUGCUGACAUACAGCAAAAUUCAACUCCAUGGACAUGGC